RNAcentral lists this transfer RNA (64 nucleotides) under Navis striatus. RNAcentral's name for it is "Argas striatus tRNA-Met". The record is from RNAcentral. Lineage: Eukaryota; Metazoa; Arthropoda; Arachnida; Ixodida; Argasidae.
UUUAAAGUAAGCUAACUUUAAGCUAUUGGGCUCAUACCCCAAAUAUGAUUAUUAUCCUUUAAUA